GAUGAACGCUGGCGGCGUGCCUAAUACAUGCAAGUCGAGCGAACAGACGCGGCGCUUGCUCCUCUGACGUUAGCGGCGGACGGGUGAGUAACACGUGGAUAACCUACCUAUAAGACUGGGAUAACUUCGGGAAACCGGAGCUAAUACCGGAUAAUAUAUUGAACCGCAUGGGUCAAUAGUGAAAGACGGUUUUGCUGUCACUUAUAGCUGGAUCUGGGCCGCAUUAGCUGGUUGGGAAGGUAACGGGUUAUCAAGGCAAGGAGGGGUGGCCGACCGGACAGGGUGAUCGCCCACACUGGAACGGGGACAGGGACAAGGCGCCUACGGGAGGCAGCAGUAGGGAAUCGUCCGCAAUGGGCGAAAGCUUGGCGGAGCAGCCGCGCGUGAGUGAUGAAGGUCUUCGGAUCGUAAAACUCUGUUACUAGGGAAGAACAAAUGUGUAAGUAACUAUGCACGUCUUGACGGUACCGAAUCAGAAAGCCACGGCUAACUACGUG
This 497-nucleotide ribosomal RNA is filed under the name uncultured bacterium. Its description in RNAcentral is "partial 16S ribosomal RNA". It matches the Rfam family "Bacterial small subunit ribosomal RNA", at positions 28 to 507 of the family's 1533-position model. The record is from RNAcentral.